GUAACGGCGAGUGAAGCGGUAACAGCUCAAAUUUGAAAUCUGGCUCUUUCAGGGUCCGAGUUGUAAUUUGUAGAAGAUGCUUCGGGUGUGGCUCCGGUCUAAGUUCCUUGGAACAGGACGUCAUAGAGGGUGAGAAUCCCGUAUGUGACUGGUUGCCUUCGCCCAUGUGAAGCUCUUUCGACGAGUCGAGUUGUUUGGGAAUGCAGCUCUAAAUGGGUGGUAAAUUUCAUCUAAAGCUAAAUAUUGGCCAGAGACCGAUAGCGCACAAGUAGAGUGAUCGAAAGAUGAAAAGCACUUUGGAAAGAGAGUUAAACAGUACGUGAAAUUGUUGAAAGGGAAGCGCUUGCAACCAGACUUGCACCCCGUCGAUCAUCCCCCGUUCUCGGAGGUGCACUCGGCGGGGUUCAGGCCAGCAUCGGUUUCGGUGGUGGGAUAAAGGCCUUGGGAACGUAGCUCCUCUCGGGGAGUGUUAUAGCCCUCGGUGCAAUGCCGCCUACCGGGACUGAGGACCGCGCUUCGGCUAGGAUGCUGGCGUAAUGGUUG
RNAcentral lists this ribosomal RNA (543 nucleotides) under [Crocicreas] cf. cyathoideum var. cacaliae. RNAcentral describes it as "eukaryotic LSU rRNA". It matches the Rfam family "Eukaryotic large subunit ribosomal RNA", at positions 83 to 640 of the family's 3401-position model. Lineage: Eukaryota; Fungi; Ascomycota; Leotiomycetes; Helotiales; Helotiaceae. The record is from RNAcentral.